RNAcentral lists this unclassified non-coding RNA (351 nucleotides) under Hevea brasiliensis (rubber tree). The record is from RNAcentral. Lineage: Eukaryota; Viridiplantae; Streptophyta; Magnoliopsida; Malpighiales; Euphorbiaceae.
GAACUCCAUCUCGUCCAUACCUUCCCCGGUAUACCAAUGCAAGAAAGCUUUUCUACGAAACAUGGCAGUGAACUGCUCACUGACCCUUCUAAACAUCUCCUGAAUUGAUGUCGAGUUGCCAAUAAAUGUGGAGGCCAUCUUUAAGCCCGUUGGAGGGAUGUCACAAACAGUGGAUUUGACAUUGUUGGGAAUCCAUUCAACAAAGUAAGACGAGUUCUUGUUCUGCACAUUGAUCAUCUGCUCAUCGACUUCUUUUGUGCUCAUUUUGCCACGGAACAUUGCUGAUGCUGUAAGAUAUCUACCAUGGCGAGGAUCAGCAGCGCACAUCAUAUUCUUGGCAUCCCACAUUUG